CAAAGCUUUCACUGAACUGAAAAGGUGGCUUCUGAAAACAUCAUAAAUCAAUGUUAUGCUUCCCAGAUAGCUUACCACAAGGGACUCCUAGAACCUAAUGUUAUGUCUGCUACGUGGUGGUACAUGUUAUUUCUGCUACAUUGUUCCCGGCACAAAUGCUUCUCUGUGGUUGUGCACCCAAGCCACGAUGGAAAGGUGCUGCAGGUAAAGUAUCAACUUCGUAAGUUCCCAGACAAUGUGGCUACCGGUCCUACCAAUGGCUGAGACCCCUGUGAAGCUGCUAUGCUCAUGUGGGAUAUUAGGUGACCCAUCUGAUCAGUGCUUUAGGCAUUAUAAAAUGGAUGCAGGAUCCUGAUUAUAAGGAGUUCUCUUUGUGGUGGCGAACCUAUUGUGCUAUAGACAAGGGAUGAGGAAAUUGUGACUCUCCAGAUGGUGUUAAUCUACAGCUCCCAUCAUCCCUAACUAUUGGGCAUGCUGGCUGGGGUUGGGGUUCAACAACAUCCAGAGGGCCACAGCUUCUCCAUCACUGCUAUUGAGCAAUAAAAUAGUUCUUCCCCUACAGCUCCCGAGCCUCUCGGACUCUAAAAGGCCCAUUUUAAAUGAGACCGUCUUGGCUGUGAGCCCUGGAAGACCUGCACCCUGCCUUACUGGCCCUUUCCCAUCUGGCCUGGGAGAGUGGAGUGCUGGCUGACUCCAGCUACAAAAGCUGAGGCUGUUGAACAGAUUCUCUGGCUGGAGUAUUGUUUAUGGGGCGUUGAGAGAGAGCUGUUGCUGUUAUUGAUAUUAUUGUUGUAUCUUUAGUUUUAGAUCUUAUGAUUUAUGUGGAAAUUGUUUCCAUUAGGUUGUGUACUUUUUGAUGUGUUUCAUUUAUUGUUUAUGACUUCUGUUAUGUUUGUAAUUAUCUAAAUCUUGUCAUGUUGUAAGCCGCCUUGAGCAUAGUUUCAACUAUGGAAAGGCGGUAUACGAAUAAGAUGAUGAAGAUGAUGAUUUGCAUCCUAUUGCAUACAGUGGGAUUUUGCACUCGGAAGCAUUGCUGCAGCUGCCAAGAAACAUAAUCCAGCCUACUCAUUACCUUUUAUAAAAUAUAAUAUGGGGGGGGUUUGCCUGUUUUCCUCUGCUGUUGGCUUCAGUUCAUGGUUGCAUAACUGCUGACAGUGUCCCUGGAAAUGAUGGCUGGAACGGUGCAGCGAGUCUGCCCUAAAGGAAGGACCCCAUGGCCUUUUGAUGCUUAUGAGCUUCGUGCUGUCAAGGAGGCAUUUGAAAUGCCUCUUUGGAGACUGCAGGGCUACGUUGCCUCAGAGCAAAGAAAACGUCUUGCCAAACUGGAAUUUAAAGAGGAUGCGAACUCUCUAGAUCCCAAGCCGCAAGCUGCAAAUGUGAUGAGUCAGAUGAGAUCUCAGGCAAGAAAGCCUCAAAGGAUGACAAAUACAUCACUGAUUUGCAUGAGGAAGGAGAGGCUUCCCACAAAAUUCAACAGUUCUGAAAACCCUUAUAAUGAGAUAAUGCUUAAAAACUUUGGUUCUGCACAUACAGGAGCUGGAUAACCCAGGUUUCAUUAUAGCUGUUUUCCUGACAUUGCCAAUUCUUACUUGGCACGUAAUAGGAAACCCCCCCUUCACAUUUUUUGUUUUUUGUUUUUGUUUUGCAAUUCUAGACCUCAUGAUGACAGACAGACAGACAAGCACACACAUGUGCAGGUAGCUGAAAACAUGUCUUUGCCCAUCACCAGAAAAUAUUAUUUGGAAUCUUGAUGCCAAAUGCAUGUGUGGUUAUUUCGACAAUUGCAUUGCUUGUUCAUUGCCAUACACCUUCAGUUAGCCAGGGAAACUGGUUUCAUUCUCCUUUGGCUUCUAAUUCUUAAACUAUUUGUCAUUUGAUGUUAGUUGCAUUUUACUGUUACCUAUGAUUAUUUUAGCCUUGUGAGCUAUUCAGAUAACAGUGUACUGAGCAGCCUACGUAAAUUGCAUAAACAAAACAAAAGCUGAAGAUUUAGAGGUGAUGUGGUCUGGUAUAAGAUUUGUUGUUUUAGCUAGGCAGUAGUGAUAUGAUCCAAACCUACGUGCCACGGAAGAUCCAGCACCAAGGGCCAAGCUAUGUGUUAUGCUAAAUGUGCAACAUGCAGCAAUGCCUUGGUUUUCGCUUUAAUUAAUUACAGGUGUGGGUGGCGGUUUUUAUUAGGACAGCAGUAUAAGGGGCUGGUGAGAGCUUUAUAAUAUUUAUUCCUUCCCCUGUUGUAACUGGGAUGAAUCCCCCUCUCACUGCACCUCUUUGGCCUUAAAAUAAUAGUUCCCAUUACAACCACCAGAAUUAUUUUCUAAGUAUCAUAGCCACAACGGGUGAGGGGAAUAAAUUUUUAUCCCAGUAAUGGCUCAGGAGGAGAGGUAUAAACUCUCUCUACCUAAGUGCUGUGGUCCUAAUAACAGUCCCAUACCCUGCAUCUGCAGUUAAUUAAAAGAAAAGUAUUAAAAGUGUGUAGUAGGGCCUUCAAAUACUGGACACGUAGUUUUAAAAUAUUUUUAUUCACCGAACCUUAAGAACACCGUGUCAGUUUAUUUGCUUAGCUCCGGAGACAUAACAGUGUGAGGAAUUUGGAGCCAGGCUUUCCAUUUCCAUUUCAAAAAUGAAAAAUAGCGUGACACGGGAGCUUAUUUUGACUCUGUCUAUAAAAACAACAGUUACUGUUAUGAGGUGGCAUUCAUAAAACCCAGCGGUGCUUUUGGAUUGACAAAUUUAUGUGUAUUCUUUAAGUGAUUUAAUGCAGCAUUUCUUAGAUCUCAGUCAUUCUCUCUCUCUCUCUUCAAGAUCUGAAAAGAGGCACUGAGACAAUUUCAUUAUAAACCAAAGGGCUUGGGAAUGGUACCUUAUUUAUUAAUAUGCGAUGCAGCCCCUGAGGAUCCUGUCAAUGCCGAAAAGAAAAACCCUCAAAGUAAAACUGGAACAAAACACAAAAUGGCCCUGCUUUAAAAGAACACGCUUCCUUACAGCCAAACUAGAUACAAACCCACACACCCUUACGCAUGCUCUACUUGCGACUGUGUAUAUGCAUGGCACCAGGGAAAAAAUAAUUUAAUUCAUAUCUGGAAAUGGCGGGAGAGAGCUGGUGAGUCCUCAUGGUUCAUGAGGAGACCCUCCCUGGAAUCCGAAGAGUAUGUCAGUGAGGGCAGAGGGAGCCCUGAAGAGACUGGGAGGCUCAGGGGGGCUUUGUUUAGGCUGCUCAGCCUCCCUGCCCAGCAGCUGGCACACAGGAUCACAUCCUCCAGCUUUCAGGCAGCCCCAGAGCAUCAACUCUAGAUAUUUUGGCCUGGACUGGGGAGAGAGAGCAGGAGAGAGAGAGAGCUGAAGAGCAAGAGAAUAAUGGGCAUUUAGAGGAUUUUAAGAAGUUGUUUAGAGGGCGCUCUCCAUUUUGCACAAUUUCUCUUAUGUGUGGGGCCCGUGUAAGUGGAGGGACACCUUAAAAUCAAAGAACAACGAUCAACUGUUAUUUCCUUAAAUACACUAUUUAAGUGGAGACAAGGGGCAUGCCAAUUACGAUUGGGACCACAAUAUUGAUGUUGCUCUGUCUCAGCUGUCUAGGGCAGGAAUCCUUGCACCUAUUACUUUUCCCUAGCAGAUUCCAAAGGAUGGGUCAAUUUAUGUUAGGAAAAAUUGUCCAGUAUAACCCUUUCCACCAUGCUGCCCCUUUGAACCAGUUGUCCCCACCAGCCAGAUCUUGUCCGGAAGUGAAUGGUGAUUUCGCCUGAGGACAUGGAGAGUGAAUGAUGAAACGAUAACUCAAUUGAUUUGAAGUUCAACUCAAAAAGCAUCCUUAACUACAUUAUUCCACAAAAUGUGGGUCAUUUUGUGCAGCCACAACAGCAUCUCCAAUCAGCUGCUCUGCUAGCGACUAGCGUCCCUGUAUCACUGUUGCUGACUGGGAUCCUCCAGAUUUUGGGACUCCAGCUCCCAUCAUCACUGGUCAUUGGCCAUAUUGUUGGGGUGGCUGGGAGUUGGAGUCCAACAACAUCCAGAGGACCCCAGGUUCGCCACCCCAAGGCAGCAGGAAGACUCUCUUCGCCAUGGACAGCUCUGAGGCACCACACAACUACUUCCAGUAAACUGAGUUGCAGGGAUCAGUUAAGGAUCAAGAUAUAUGCAGCAGUCUAUAACCAGUUCCCGGUUACCGUAUUUUUCGCUCUAUAAGACUCACUUUUUCCCUCCUAAAAAGUAAGGGGAAAUGUGUAUGCGUCUUAUGGAGUGAAUGCAGGCUGCGCAGCUAUCCCAGAAGCCAGAACAGCAAGAGGGAUUGCUGCUUUCGCUACUCAGCAAUCCCUCUUGUUCUGGCUUCUGAGAUUCAGAAUAUUUUUUUUCUUGCUUUCCUCCUCCAAAAACUAGGUGCAUCUUGUGGUCUGGUGCGUCUUAUAGAGCGAAAAAUACGGUAAUUCAUUUCUACAAAAUGCAGCCACAGAAGCAGCAAAUUAACAUAAAAAACCAGCAUGAGCAAAGGGGUUUCAUCACUCUUUUCCUCUUUUUUUUUUGGUAACAAGCUUUAUUAAUAGUCUUACGAUACAUUACAUAUAUAUAUAGUACAUCUCUUAAAGUAAAUUGAAAUUUCAAUCGUGUACACAAAAAAAGAAAAAACCCAUAUACUUAUUUUCUCUUACAUAAUUAUGAACCUUAAGCUUCAGCUGUAUUUAUGCUGCUUUUUAUGCGAUUAUUAACAAAAAUAUCAUAAAGACUUUGGACUUCCUGUCAAUUCCCAUUGUAUGAUUUUAUUCUUAUAGUGAAUGUACCUAUCAUUAUUAAUCUAUUCUUUAUAUAUUCUCUUUCAUCACUCUUUUCCUUUCUGCCAUUUAUCUAUAAAAAUUCUUCCCAACCUCCUUUCUGUCCCACAGGUUGAAAGAUGCAGGUACCUCAGAAGCUGGGACAGGAUUAUUUUUACAGCACGAGGGAAGGAUUUUGUAAAAUGGGAGUAGCUAACAUUUUCCAGGCCAAGGAUAGCAUUGGCCCAAUGCCAACCAGGGGGAUCACAUGUCAAAGUGAGUGUAGCUGAAACGUAAAAGUGGGUGUGGCCAAUUUUGAUUAUUAUUUUUUAAAUGAUUUUUGAGGGAGAGCUAUAAACCUUUUGGCAUCACAGAAUCACAGCAGAGAAUGCAUGAGAGUGGUAGCAAACAUAAUUAUUUUAAAACUUUUUAAAAAAAAUUGAGGGCCCCCCUCAAAUGACACUAUCACAGUGGGAUAUGAAUGGAAGUAGUCAGUGGCCAAAAAACCUUUUGGCAUUGUGGCAUCACAGUGCGGGAGCUGGGGGAGCAGUUAAAAAAAUGUGCUUAAAUUUAAUUUUAAAAUUUAAGGUCUUAGCUGGAUAUCUUUUGUAUCACCUCCUGCCUGAGCCAUUUUAUCUGCUGAUGCCGGGAAUUGAACUUGAAGCCUCCUGCAUGCAAACCAUAUGCUUUACCCCCUGAGCUACGUCCCCUUUCCACCUCCAAGGUGCCCAGCCUCACAGAAGUAGCCUUCCAUUAUUCUCUCAACCACAAUCUACAUUUUUCUUUCAGAUCCUGCCUGCCCCACCAUCUUCACAUUAGCUGCCAUCAUUUUUACAAACCGAUUAAAGGUUAGACCGAGGCAAGGAAUGUGAUGCUUGGCAUAACCUGCUAGAAUUUCGGAUGGAUAUGUGAUCUUUGCUGCUAAGAAUUACAAGAGGAAGUGUGUGAAGUGCUCUGCACAUUCGAAAUCAAUAUAUACAUGCUAGAUACUGCUAUUAUUAAAAACAGCAGGGAGGCGGAUUGCAAAAUCCAAUUUAAGGCCUUUACUAAGACUCUUGGUGCAAGAAGACCUUGGACCUUAUACGGCUAGCAUGCUGCAGUUUCCUUCCUGGCAGCGCACACAUUUCUUUCAAGUUUCUCC
This is a non-coding RNA of Podarcis lilfordi (Lilford's wall lizard), 5880 nucleotides long. The record is from the annotation of a GenBank genome assembly. NCBI's taxonomy places the organism in Eukaryota, Metazoa, Chordata, Lepidosauria, Squamata, Lacertidae.